Molecule: long non-coding RNA, 1427 nt
Organism: Eriocheir sinensis (Chinese mitten crab)
Lineage: Eukaryota; Metazoa; Arthropoda; Malacostraca; Decapoda; Varunidae
Exons: 3
Source: RefSeq, a predicted model, not a curated record
UCUCUCUCUCUCUCUCUCGCGGCGUCCAUGGCACUUAGAAUCCUCUUUUAAAACAACAAUAAUAAUAAUAAUAAUAAUAAUAAUAAUAAUAAUAAUAAUAAUAAUAAUAAUAAUAAUAAUAAUAAUAAUAAUAAUCACAGUAAUUAUACUUUCAACUCUACUUAUUUUUCGACUGAGAUCACACUCACUUGCAUUCCUGUUUAUGUCACGUCUCACUCGGGUCAGCACAGGUCACAAGAGGUCACAGAUGGCUGGCAGGUCAGGUCAGGUCAGGUGGGGUUAAUCAAGUCAGGUGGAGGACAGGUCAGGAGGUAGACAUUUUCUCUUCCUUUCCAUUUUUCUUCUCUUUUCAUCUAUUCUUUUCUUUUUCAUUCGUUUUCUGCUUUACUUUUGUUCCUCUUAUUCCUUCUUUCUCUCUUUCUUCUGUUUUUUUUUCCUUUUCUUUUAUAUUAUUUUUCUCUUCUUUUCUUCUUCUUAUAGUUAUGUCCUUCUUUCUUUUCUAACUCCUUCUAUUUUUCCUUAUUUUUAUCUUAUAUUUUGCUAGUUUUCAUUUUUUCGUCCCUUUUUUCUUUUCAUUUUUUCUUUCCCUCUUUUUUUCUUUUUUCCUUCCAUUAGCGGGUUUGAACUUUUUAUGCAAGACUUUUCCUCCUCUUACUCCACUUAAAUCUCCUCAUCCUCCUCUGCUCUCUCUCUCUCUCUCUCUCUCUCUCUCUCUCUCUCUCCUUCUUUUUCACACUCUUCCUCCUCCUCAUCUUCCUCCUCUUGUUUAUGCUUUUUUUGAGCUCUUUCGGUUCUCCUCUUUUUCCUCUUUAUUCUCAUUCGUCACUAAAUUCUCCUUCUCCUCCUCUUCCUUCUCUCUCUCCUCUUCUUUCCUUUCUCUUUUUCAUACUCUUCCUCUUGUUCCUCUUCCUCCUUCUCCCAUUCAUACUUAUUUUUCUCCCUUCGCUUCUCUUUUUCUUCUCUGUUUUUUCUCUUCUAAUGCACGACUUAAAGUUCUCUCUCUUUUUUUCUCUCUCCUCACAAGUUUCCUCUCCUCUCCACAUUAGCAGGUUAGCAGGAGCAGAACUUCCUCCUUCCCUCCGUCAGUAAUAGGCAGUCAGCAGUCAGCAGGCCACGAAACCCUUACAUCCUCAGCAGACCAAACCUUCCAUCAGCAGUCAGUCAGCAGGUAGUGGGCCUCCAAAACCUCCCUUUCUCAGCACUCAGCAGGUAAUCAACACGUCCUUUCCAUCAGCAGGGAGUCAGCAGGCUACUAAAACUUCCUUUCCUCAACUUCCUCAGCAGUGCAAAGGUUCAGUCAGCAGGGAGUCAGCAGGCCAUUAAAACUUCCCUUCCUCAACUUCCUCAGCAGUGCAAAGAUUCAGUCAGCAGGGAGUCAGCAGGCCAUCAAAACUUCCCUUCCUCAACUUCCUCAGCAGUGCAAAGGG